GUACGUGUAUUCGAGAAGGAGCCAGGAACUCCUUGAAGGUUCAUAAACCCUAAUCAUGAAGAUCACCAAAUUGAGGGGUUAAUUGUAGCUCAAAUUCAAGAAGGAACAUGGACUAAUGAUCACCUAAGUAUUUCCUACAUCAAAAUUGGAAUCACACGAGCAUGGGCCAAGCACGAAGGCUAACGGGUCAAGAUGAGGCAAGGAAGCGGUUACGAGCACGGAUGCACAAGGUAAGUAAUUUCCGUAAUUACUUCUUAGUUGUUUAUGUGAAGUUAUGUGCAACUUAAACUAAGUAUGAUAAUUGAGGUCAUAUAGGAAUGAAUGGUAUGAUAUCGAUGAAGUGUUAAACGGAUCUUAGCUUUGAUCCGAGCAAGGUAGGUGUGAUUAAGAAUUGUAGCUAAGUGAUAGGAUUGGUUACUUAUGCAAGAUAGUACUUUGUUGUUAAGGAUGGGGCAAGGUUGACAAAAACGCCCUUGAUGGGUAUUUGGGGCAAACGACCUUAAAAGUCGUUUGGAAACGAGUUAUUCGUUUAGAGUAAUGUCUUUGUCAAGUAUGAAAGCGAAGUAUAGGGUUUUGUAUGUCGUAG
Molecule: long non-coding RNA, 586 nt
Organism: Helianthus annuus (common sunflower)
Lineage: Eukaryota; Viridiplantae; Streptophyta; Magnoliopsida; Asterales; Asteraceae
Exons: 3
Source: RefSeq, a predicted model, not a curated record